This 505-nucleotide ribosomal RNA is filed under the name uncultured bacterium. Its description in RNAcentral is "partial 16S ribosomal RNA". It matches the Rfam family "Bacterial small subunit ribosomal RNA", at positions 28 to 507 of the family's 1533-position model. The record is from RNAcentral.
GACGAACGCUGGCGGCGUGCCUAAUACAUGCAAGUAGAACGCACAGUUUAUACCGUAGCUUGCUACACCAUAGACUGUGAGUUGCGAACGGGUGAGUAACGCGUAGGUAACCUGCCUGGUAGCGGGGGAUAACUAUUGGAAACGAUAGCUAAUACCGCAUAAUAUUAAUUAUUGCAUGAUAAUUAAUUGAAAGGUGCAAUUGCACCUCUACCAGAUGGACCUGCGUUGUAUUAGCUAGUAGGUGAGGUAACGGCUCACCUAGGCGACGAUACAUAGCCGACCUGAGAGGGUGAUCGGCCACACUGGGACUGAGACACGGCCCAGACUCCUACGGGAGGCAGCAGUAGGGAAUCUUCGGCAAUGGACGAAAGUCUGACCGAGCAACGCCGCGUGAGUGAAGAAGGUUUUCGGAUCGUAAAGCUCUGUUGUAAGAGAAGAACGGGUGUGAGAGUGGAAAGUUCACACUGUGACGGUAUCUUACCAGAAAGGGACGGCUAACUACGUG